RNAcentral lists this ribosomal RNA (432 nucleotides) under uncultured bacterium. RNAcentral's name for it is "partial 16S ribosomal RNA". It matches the Rfam family "Bacterial small subunit ribosomal RNA", at positions 30 to 506 of the family's 1533-position model. The record is from RNAcentral.
AGCGAACGCUGGCGGCAGGCUUAACACAUGCAAGUCGAGCGGACCUUUCGGGGUCAGCGGCGGACGGGUGAGUAACGCGUGGGAACGUGCCUUCCGGUUCGGAAUAACCCUGGGAAACUAGGGCUAAUACCGGAUACGCCCUUAUGGGGAAGGGUUUACUGCCGGAAGAUCGGCCCGCGUCUGAUUAGCUAGUUGGUGGGGUAACGGCCUACCAAGGCGACGAUCAGUAGCUGGUCUGAGAGGAGGAUCAGCCACACUGGGACUGAGACACGGCCCAGACUCCUGCGGGAGGUAGCAGGGGGGAAGAUAGGACAGUGGGCGCAAGCCUGAGACAGCCAUGCCGGGUGAGUGAUGAAGGCCUUAGGGUUGUAAAGCUCUUGUAACCGGGACGAUAAGGACGGUACCGGAGGAAUAAGCCCCGGCUACCUGCGU